Molecule: long non-coding RNA, 543 nt
Organism: Ochotona princeps (American pika)
Lineage: Eukaryota; Metazoa; Chordata; Mammalia; Lagomorpha; Ochotonidae
Exons: 3
Source: RefSeq, a predicted model, not a curated record
AUUGCUCAGUGGUAUCUUCCAUGAACAAACCAGUUCGAAUGUCCAUUCUCCUGUUAAGUGGACUUCAGGUCUGUUUCGAUCAUCUUUUCUCCUAGGUAAAUAUUCGGGAGGAAAGGCUGAUAGGGCUUUUCAACUUCUUAACAAAAAUUUCAAACUGCGUCCCACAGUGAUUGGACCAUUCCAUAUUCCCAGAAAAGGUAUACGAGUGUUCCAGUCUUUCUGCGUUCUUGCCUCUACUUGAGACUGUCUUUAUCACUUUAGAUUGCUGUUCAAGGAAAAUAGGAUGGCUUGGACUAUUAGCUAGAACGAACGCUAACUGACUCAUCUCCCAUGAUUUUACAAACAGAAGGUGAGACAGAGAGAAAGAUCUUCCAUCCACUGGUUCACUCCCCAAAUGGCUGCAAUGGCUGGAGCUGAGUUGAUCCAAAGCUGAGCCAAGAACCUGCUCCGGGUCUCCCAGGGCUCUCUUCAGCCUUCUAGGACCUGUUCUGACAACCCAGGCAAAGCCCACAGAGAUGGAGCAAGGUGGUCCUUGAGAAGGUG